Asparagus officinalis (garden asparagus) is the source of this 987-nucleotide long non-coding RNA. RefSeq lists it as uncharacterized. NCBI's taxonomy places the organism in Eukaryota, Viridiplantae, Streptophyta, Magnoliopsida, Asparagales, Asparagaceae. The transcript has 3 exons. The record is from RefSeq and is a predicted model, not a curated record.
UGGUGGGAGGCUUGGAUUCGACUCCUAAAAAGUAUAUAAUAGCUUUGUAACUAACAAUAAAGUUUGCCAUUGUUAGAAUUUAGCCUUCUCAAAAUUAACAAGUUGGAAAUAACAACCUCAACUAAGAUUUAUCACAAUGGAAGCGUUAUUCGGAACAGCAAUGGAAGGAGGAAGAGGAGAAAUGGUUGCUGCAACUGGGAAGCAAAACGUGUGGCUGUGGUCGGAGGAGGAAUCGCAGGAUCGCUCCUCGCAAGCCGUAUUCAGGACUAUGCGCAUGUCACCCUCAUUGACCCGAAAGAAUAAUUUGAGAUUCCUUGGGCGAACUUGAGAGCAAAGGUGGAUCCAUCAUUUGCAGCGAAUACACUAUUUAACCAUUCCAAGUAUUUGACAAGGGGUGAAAUUUUUAUAUCCAACACAAAAAAUGUCACUCAAACAGCGGUUUUCACAACAGACAGGCAUCAAGUUCCAUGCAACUGUCUUGUUAUUGCUACUGGCCACAAAUAAAGGAAUCCCAGAUCAAGGAGAGAUAGGAUGGAACAAUUUCAGGAAGAAAAUGUCAAGAUAGAAAAAUUCGGGGUCUAUUUUAAUAAUUGGGGGAGGACCGACGGGUGCUGAACUUGCUGCAGAGCUUGCAGUGGUCUUUCCACAAAAGAAGGUAACUUUAGUACACAAUGGACCGAGGUUACUCGAAUUCAUUGGAAGAAGGCUGCUACCAAGACACUGGAUUGGUUGAAAUCAAAGAAGGUUGAGGUUCUUCUUGAUCAAUCAAUUGAUUUGAAAUUCAUAUCAGAGGGGGACGGACAAUUCACAACAUCAGCUGGACAAUUCAGAACAUCGAUGUACUUCUUGAAGAAACCGUGAAGAAGUUUGGUGAAGAACAGGUGUCGGGAUCCGCAGGAGCCAGUUUGGGAGCUGCGCGGUCGACCGCGGCGCAAGACCGAUCGACCGCGAACGUGCACAGACUCUGGGAGGAGUCUGGAUUUAGCG